GAAAAAACGAGUUGCAAACCAAGACCCAUUAUCGGUUGACUAUUUACGUGUUUCUAAUUCUAUUUAGUCUUUGAUUUAAUCUUUCCAUUGUUGUUUCAAUCUUCAUCCUCAAAUCCGAAUAUGUUUGAGAAUGAACAAUGACUUCUUUUAAUUCAUACCCAUACUCUGUAUUUGAAUUUUGUUGAUGACAUCAUUGAAUUGACUAUCAAUGGUGAAUUCAAUAAUGGAGGGUUGUCUUUUGCCAUUACUUUUUGUCUUCCCACUUGUAAUUCAAGAAUGUCUAUUUAAUGUUAAGAAGAAAUUCUCUAAGAAAUUACUAUAAGGAAAUUUAAUGAUGUUAAUAUAAAAGGGAUAUGUUUGUCUAUUUGAUGGAACUUAUGUAUAAAUUUUGAUAUUAAUGACAUGUUCAGAAGUUUCAUAGAAUGUUUGUGAGUGAGAAUAAAACAUUAAGAAAAGUCUCGUGAUAUUUUGAUAGGAUACUCACAAAUACUUAAAGUUAUCUAGGAUGUUACAUAUUACUUAUUUCAUUAUGAUAAAUUUUAAUUGCAUUAGAUGUACAAUCUGCAAUUU
Molecule: long non-coding RNA, 570 nt
Filed under: Medicago truncatula (barrel medic)
Lineage: Eukaryota; Viridiplantae; Streptophyta; Magnoliopsida; Fabales; Fabaceae
Description: lncRNA gene5406
Source: RNAcentral